UACACCUAUUAGGUUAGGUGGAAUGAUUACAUGGAUUCUGCACAACUAGGUCAAGAAUGUAGAGUUUGCAAAUGAGUAUAUCAAAGAGACUCCCUCCUGUACUUAUGAAGGUAUUGAGUUGAGGUUUCACUGUUCCUCAAGUCUUUCUUCCCCCUGCCCAUGCUCCUGUUUCUUAUAUAUGACAUUAAGGAAGAAUCAUGGCAACACAUCUAAAACCUUCAAGUCUGGCCAUGGGAACACAGGAAGUAGAUAGUGUAGUACAGAUAUCAAAUGUGAAUAGAGAAAAGAAUUGUAUACUCCAUGUGGUCCUUUGCUUUAUUGAUGAUGGUAAUUUUUGAAUAACAUAAGGAUUUGGGAAUUUAUAAUUGAAGUAGGUACACCAUAUUUACACUGUUAUUCUCAGUCUAUAGAUGGGCCCACUUUGUUUCCAAAAUCAUAGCAGAGAAUGGAAUUUGAAAACAGAAUUUUUGAGUACAUAUUCAGGAAUAUUUAUAAUGUCCCCUAUGAAGGAAUGUACAAUAGGAAAGUGAAAUACAAUAUUCAUUCAACGAAAGGUGUGUAGGUAAAGUACUGGCCUUUAUAAAAUUAAGAAAACCUAGAAAAUUGAACUGUAUGUCACAGGAAUUGACCUGGGAAUAAAAAUAUUAUCCAGAAGAAUCUCCUCCACUCCAAGUUCCUAAAUAAUUUCUAUCCAUGCCAUACCCCUGACUCAUUUUCUCCAUUCAGAAGUCACUAGCUUUAGAGAGAUGGAGAACGAAAGUUUCCACUGUGUCACAGGAGACAUACCUAAAUUGGCACCCUCAAAACUGGUUAAUGUAAGGAAAGCUGUUUAGAGUCAGGCCAUGGCAGUUCUCAGUGACAAUAUCAUUAGGCUCUCCCUGAAAAAUCUCUUGUAUCCUUGAGAGCACUAGCUUCUUCUGUGAUGUAAUAAGUGUUGUCCUGACUGCAAAUGCCUCUCAGAUAUUACUUCAGUACCUAUAGGUUUUACUAAUUGGCCUCAAAUUCAGGGGAAACAGUCAUUAGGGAGGGAGAACAAAGACGAUGAAGAAAUCAGAGAUGGGGAGAACGAAGCUGGUCUUCUGUCUUGGUAUAAAAGAAGGAAGAAAUACAUCAUCCCUGAGAAAUCUCACUGAAGCCUUGGUAGGAGUGGAAUAUGAAAAAUAGUCCUGAGGAAGGAGGGACAACAAGUAUUGUAUCGUCAUGGCAUCUCAAGAAAAACUCUCAAAACUCAUCCUGGCUGACAAUGUAGAUUAGACGCAUCAGAUGAAAUGAAUUGAAAAACUCUCCUGGGAAUGAAAGUGGUAAGGAAAUCACAUUGAUGUAUCCUAAAUGCAGUGCUAAGAGCAAUAUUCAGACUAGUCUGUGGAGAUGCUGCUGUCAUCAGAGACCACAGACAAUUAGUGGAGAAUGAUUCAGCAUUAAACUGGGAAUGGAAGAUGAUGGUUGAUAUUGUUCUAGUAGAUCUCACUACAUUAAAAAGUGUUUCUUCCAGAUAACUGAAUGAUUAUUGUAAAGCAAAUCCCGGAAUGAACUUAUGAGACCCACCAUCAGCCUGUCAAAUAAUGUGCGAAAGAAGAAAUCUGUGUCUCUCCAGGGACAAAUUGUUGCUUUCAAACCAACAGUAAAGUGUCCAUUCUAUGAA
This is a non-coding RNA of Rattus norvegicus (Norway rat), 1642 nucleotides long. NCBI's taxonomy places the organism in Eukaryota, Metazoa, Chordata, Mammalia, Rodentia, Muridae. The record is from RefSeq and is a predicted model, not a curated record.